GACGAACGCUGGCGGCGUGCUUAAGCACAUGCAAGUCAAGGGGGUCCCAGCAAUGGGCAACCGGCGAACGGGUGCGUAACACGUGAGCAACCUGCCGAUCUGUGGGGGAAUAGCCGGCCCAACGGCCGGGUAAUACCGCAUACGCUCUUCUCGGGACAUCCCGAGCUGAUGAAACCUUUUGGGCAGAUCGAGGGGCUCGCGGCCUAUCAGCUAGUUGGUGGGGUAACGGCUCACCAAGGCGACGACGGGUAGCUGGUCUGAGAGGAUGGCCAGCCACAUUGGGACUGAGAAACGGCCCAGACUCCUACGGGAGGCAGCAGUGGGGAAUAUUGCGCAAUGGCCUGACGGCUGACGCAGCGACGCCGCGUGUGGGAUGACGCCUUCGGGGUGUAAACCACUGUUGCUCGAGACGAACCACGGACUUUCGUCCGUCUGACGGUAUCGAGUGAGGAAGCACCGGCUAACUCCGUGCCAGCAGCCGCGGUAAUACGGAGGGUGCGAGCGUUGUCCGGAAUCACUGGGCGUAAAGGGGCGCGUAGGUGGUUCGAUAAGUGUGUGGUGAAAGCCCCGGGGGCUCAACCCCGGGGUCUGCCGUGCAAACUGUCGAACUGGAGUACUGCAGAGGCAGGUGGAAUUCCGGGUGUAGCGGUGGAAUGCGUAGAUAUCCGGAAGAAGACCGGUGGCGAAGGCGACCUGCUGGGCAGUUACUGACACUGAGGCGCGACA
Molecule: ribosomal RNA, 726 nt
Filed under: uncultured bacterium
Lineage: Bacteria
Description: bacterial SSU rRNA
Rfam family: Bacterial small subunit ribosomal RNA
Source: RNAcentral